This 399-nucleotide ribosomal RNA is filed under the name uncultured soil bacterium. RNAcentral describes it as "bacterial SSU rRNA". It matches the Rfam family "Bacterial small subunit ribosomal RNA", at positions 975 to 1375 of the family's 1533-position model. The record is from RNAcentral.
CCAGGCUUGAACAGCGAGUGACAAACUACGAAAGUGGUCUUCCGCAAGGACACUCGUAGAGGUGCUGCAUGGCUGUCGUCAGCUCGUGUCGUGAGAUGUUGGGUUAAGUCCCGCAACGAGCGCAACCCUUGUUUGCUGUUGCCAUCAGGUUAAGCUGGGCACUCUGCAAAGACUGCCGGUGAUAAACCGGAGGAAGGUGGGGAUGACGUCAAGUCAGCAUGGCCUUUAUGUCUGGGGCUACACACGUGCUACAAUGGCCGAUACAAACCGUCGCGAGCCCGCAAGGGGGAGCUAAUCGGAGAAAGUCGGUCUCAGUUCGGAUAGCAGGCUGCAACCCGCCUGCUUGAAGUUGGAAUCGCUAGUAAUCGCGGAUCAGCACGCCGCGGUGAAUACGUUCCC